UUUGGGAAAUGAUGCUAAUAAGAUCUAAACCGGUUACAUAAGCUCAGUGAUCUGUGCUCUGCUGAACAUGUUUUUGCACGUCAGUCUGAUCCCAAA
Molecule: small nucleolar RNA, 96 nt
Organism: Camellia sinensis
Lineage: Eukaryota; Viridiplantae; Streptophyta; Magnoliopsida; Ericales; Theaceae
Product: small nucleolar RNA Z122
Source: RefSeq, a predicted model, not a curated record